This 465-nucleotide ribosomal RNA is filed under the name Vreelandella stevensii. RNAcentral describes it as "partial 16S ribosomal RNA". It matches the Rfam family "Bacterial small subunit ribosomal RNA", at positions 338 to 795 of the family's 1533-position model. The record is from RNAcentral. Lineage: Bacteria; Pseudomonadati; Pseudomonadota; Gammaproteobacteria; Oceanospirillales; Halomonadaceae.
CCUACGGUUGGCUGCAGUGGGGAAUAUUGGACAAUGGGCGAAAGCCUGAUCCAGCCAUGCCGCGUGUGUGAAGAAGGCCUUCGGGUUGUAAAGCACUUUCAGUGGGGAAGAAAGCCUUGGGGCUAAUACCCUCGAGGAAGGACAUCACCCACAGAAGAAGCACCGGCUAACUCCGUGCCAGCAGCCGCGGUAAUACGGAGGGUGCGAGCGUUAAUCGGAAUUACUGGGCGUAAAGCGCGCGUAGGCGGUCUGAUAAGCCGGUUGUGAAAGCCCCGGGCUCAACCUGGGAACGGCAUCCGGAACUGUCAGGCUAGAGUGCAGGAGAGGAAGGUAGAAUUCCCGGUGUAGCGGUGAAAUGCGUAGAGAUCGGGAGGAAUACCAGUGGCGAAGGCGGCCUUCUGGACUGACACUGACGCUGAGGUGCGAAAGCGUGGGUAGCAAACAGGAUUAGAUACCCUUGUAGUC